This 1899-nucleotide long non-coding RNA is filed under the name Oncorhynchus kisutch (coho salmon). RNAcentral describes it as "lncRNA (ENSOKIG00005020489.1)". Lineage: Eukaryota; Metazoa; Chordata; Actinopteri; Salmoniformes; Salmonidae. The record is from RNAcentral.
AUGGCAGGAGAGUCACACAGUCUACCCCAACCAAAUGGAGAGGCCUUAGAAGCUCCCUCCCGCUGUUCAGAGGUAAUUAAAAUACAGUACCCUCUGCAUGUAAAGAAUGAAAAGGCAAGAAAAGAUUACAAAAUGAAGCUCCUUAUGGAAAAUCAAGAGACACUUUUUGCUGACUAUUACAAAAAUGGGAACAUCAGCAACCUUAUCUUCCACACAAACCAUCCCCUGGCAUGGCACAGUGCUAUAUUAGCACACUACCCCUCUGUUACGAGAGGGGGGAUUAACGAGGGGUGGAAACUCAGAAUACUUGACAACGAGGACUCUGAGUUAAGUAAUAUAAAUAUCUAUAAGUCCGGAACAGUGAUGGUACAGCGUAACCACAAACAGUUUCAGCUGGACUUUCACCUAAUCAAAGAAUUAGCUCAGCAGGAGAAACUCUCCCUUGAUAAAGAUACCCCCACCCCGAGAGGAUCAGACCAGACCUCUUCAUUAUGUAACCCCACAGAUGAGCAACCCCCAGCGGAGGGUCAACCUCCCAGCACAGAUUACCACUCCCUCAUUGAAAUGAAGGACAAAUUCACCCAGCUGGAGAUAAGGCAGGUGGAGCUGGAACAGCAGGUGAUUACACUUCAGUCAGCACAGACCCAGACAACAGUCCAGCACAACAACAGCCCCUUAACCAGACCCGGAGAGCUGGAGGUGGACAGAGACAUAUCUGCACUUUGGACAGUGGUGAGACAAAUACAACAGGAGAAAGAGGAGCAGAACAGAGCACUAGAGGAGAGUAUCAGACUGCUGGUGGAGGAGAGGUUGAGGGGGAUGGAGGAGAGGGUGAGGGGGAUGGAGGAGAAGUUGAGGGGGACGGCGUGUGACAGAGAACAACCCACUAGAGAGGUGGCCACCCCCACAGAGAAGCCAGCAGAACAGCCCACCUCAGCACCCAACAAAAGUCUCGACACCACAGCAGAACAGUCCACACCAGACCCUGACCAUAGAGUCGACACCACAGCAGAACAGUCCACACCAGACCCUGACCAUAGAGUCGACAUCACAGCACAACAGACAAAUGAAGAACCCCAAGCCCAGAGGCUCUCACCCCCUCUGAGCACCCCCCCUGUCAGCCACCCUGAUAGCCCUUCUGUCAACCCCCCCACACCCACUGAGGACAAACACAAGACACAGAUUGUACUACUUAUGGACUCAAAUGGGAAAUAUAUAGAAGAAAAAAUACUUUUUCCCAAACACAGUGUGUCUAAACUCUGGUGUCCAAACACCCAGCGUGCCCUAGACCUUCUGUCUGAGGCCAAACUAGGCUCACCCAGCCACAUAAUAAUACACACAGGCACAAACGACCUGAGAGCACAGCAGGAAAGAGUGGCCACAGCACUGAAGGGAGUGAUUGAAAAGGCUUCUUCUACUUUCCCCAACGCACAAGUGGUUAUCUCCACCCUGCUACCACGAAAAGACUUCCACCCCGCCACAAUACAGCGGGUAAAUGCAAGUAUUUCCCGUGACUGUGCCUCAAAACCAAACGUUUUCCUGGCCCACCACUCCACCCUGGACUUGAACAGCCUCUAUGACCAGGUCCACCUCUACAAGGCAGCAGUGCCCACCUUUGCCCGGACUCUAAAGGACAUCGCUCUCAAACGUAUCCCCAACACUCCACACAGGAGCAACAGAUCAAUAGACACCCCACCCAGACCAGCGAGACACCCUCCCAGAUCUGCAGGACCUCCCCCUGGACCUACACAUAGAGGACCCACGCCAAGAGGAAUUACAUCCAGACCACAGUACACCCAGACACAUCCACACCCCCACCCCAACCAAUCAACACCCCCCCACGUCAACCAUGCCCACACUCCAUUUAGGCCCCCUCAGAUCAGACCUAUGCCACUCCUG